RNAcentral lists this transfer RNA (75 nucleotides) under Gammaproteobacteria bacterium. RNAcentral's name for it is "tRNA-Gln". It matches the Rfam family "tRNA". From Rfam's summary of the family: Transfer RNA (tRNA) molecules are approximately 80 nucleotides in length. Their secondary structure includes four short double-helical elements and three loops (D, anti-codon, and T loops). RNAcentral also lists the same sequence under 5 other names. The record is from RNAcentral. Lineage: Bacteria; Pseudomonadati; Pseudomonadota; Gammaproteobacteria.
AGGGGUGUAGCCAAGCGGUAAGGCAACGGGUUUUGAUCCCGUCAUGCGUAGGUUCGAAUCCUGCCACCCCUGCCA